This 370-nucleotide long non-coding RNA is filed under the name Medicago truncatula (barrel medic). Its description in RNAcentral is "lncRNA gene31284". Lineage: Eukaryota; Viridiplantae; Streptophyta; Magnoliopsida; Fabales; Fabaceae. The record is from RNAcentral.
AUCAUCAAAACUUAAUAAGGUUCAUUGUGAAACACAUUUUGUUCCAACAAUCUCCCCCUUUUUGAUGAUGACAAACAAUAGUAUUUAAAAUGUUCAAUUGUUGUUGAUCUAAUUAAUAAGUUGACUACUGGGACAGAGGUUUGUAAGCUCCCCCUGAGUCUAAUAGAUCUUUAAGGUGAGGUUUGUAAGCUCCCCCUAAGUUCUAUUCUUAUUAAUUAAAUUUCAAUAAAAUACUUAUAAAAUCAAAUCAGAAGUAUUUAAAAGAAAUUUAGAGUAGGGCUCAGUGCCUUAAAAAAUACUAUACAUUUACUCCCCCUUUUGUCAUCAACAAAAAGAAUAGAAACAAAAGAAAGAGUAUCAGAGCAAACAG